This 300-nucleotide unclassified non-coding RNA is filed under the name Zea mays. RNAcentral's name for it is "misc RNA Zm00001eb010510". The record is from RNAcentral. Lineage: Eukaryota; Viridiplantae; Streptophyta; Magnoliopsida; Poales; Poaceae.
GCAGGUCGAUGGAGUAGUAGAUGACGUCGAGGCGGACGAACGAGUAGGCGGCGGCGGCGACCGCCGGCACGCAGAGCAUCGGCAGCACCGACGUGGGGCUGCCUCCGUGUCGGAUCCCGAGCCUGACGUACUUGAGCUUGAUGCUGCGGGCGAAGUCCGGGAGCCGGCGGCGGAUCUUGAUGACGAUGCUGGGCGCCGGCUCGCCGCCGUCCCGCCGCGCUUCGUCCGCGCCGCGGAAGGCCAUCUCGGCUGUGAGGCGCUCCCGCUCCAUGACCGCGGCGGGAGCAGACUCCAUGGAGA